This 348-nucleotide ribosomal RNA is filed under the name uncultured bacterium. RNAcentral's name for it is "bacterial SSU rRNA". It matches the Rfam family "Bacterial small subunit ribosomal RNA", at positions 920 to 1290 of the family's 1533-position model. The record is from RNAcentral.
GACCCCGCACAAGCGGCGGAGCAUGCGGCUUAAUUCGAUGAUACCCGUAGAACCUUACCUGGACUUGACAUAUAGGGAAAAACUAAAGAAAUUUAGUGUGCGUAAGCGCCCUAUACAGGUGGUGCAUGGCUGUCGUCAGCUCGUGUCGUGAGAUGUUGGUUAAGUCCCGCAACGAGCGCAACCCCUGUCCUAUGUUGCCAGCAAGUAAUGUUGGGGACUCAUAGGAGACUGCCGGUGAUAAACCGGAGGAAGGUGGGGAUGACGUCAAGUCAUCAUGCCCCUUAUGUCCAGGGCUGCACGCAUGCUACAAUGGUAGUGACAAUGGGUUAAUCCCAAAAAGCUAUCUCA